AACAAAAACAUGUCCUUUUGGUAUUUAUAUAAGGUUUGACCUGCCCACUGAUUAAUUGAAUGGCCGCAGUAUUUUGACUGUGCAAAGGUAGCAUAAUCAUUAGUUUUUUAAUUAAAAGCUUGUAUGAAGGGUUGGACGAGGUAAAAUCUGUCUCUAUUUAAUUUAUUUUAGAAUUUAAUUUUUAAGUUAAAAAGCUUAAAUUAUUAUAAAAGACGAGAAGACCCUAUAGAUCUUUAUAUUAUUAUAAAUAAUUUUAAUUAAGAAUAUUUUAUUUUUUAUUUAUAUUAAUAUUUUAUUGGGGUAAUAAAUAGAUUAAAUAAAUUCUUUUUAAAAUUAAAUACUAAUUUGUAAUUAUAUGAUCCAAUAUUUUUGAUUAAAAGAUUAAGUUACCUUAGGGAUAACAGCGUAAUUUUUUUUGAGAGUUCAUAUCGAUAAAAAAGUUUGCGACCUCG
This 452-nucleotide ribosomal RNA is filed under the name Copelatus sp. BI-2011. Its description in RNAcentral is "partial 16S ribosomal RNA". Lineage: Eukaryota; Metazoa; Arthropoda; Insecta; Coleoptera; Dytiscidae. The record is from RNAcentral.